AAAUCAACAACUAAACCAGUUUGUUAGAACUUCUUACUGAAUGUUUCUAUUCUUAUUGUGCUGCCUACAGAAAAAUUUCUUUUGACUGAAUGGUGCAUAUUCUUCUCCAGUACACACCAAGUUAGCCUGUACUAUGGAGACAAAAUCCACCUCCUUUUUUAAAAGCUGAUCAAGAAUAACAUGCUGACAUCGCCUGUUUCCUGACAUAGCCUGUAUAAAGUCUCAUCCAAUUUCCUGCUUAAACAGAUGUUCUGGACGUAGCACCCAGGUUGCCAACUCAUCAAAUGGAGUGAUCAGUGGAGAUGGUCAAAGGCCUCUGAAGGAAGGUUGGGCUCUAAAUAAAAGAAAACAUCAGAAGACACAAAAAUUGUGGCAAUGUAUUAGUGGAUAUUUCUUGCAUGAGCUUCAGUCUUUCUCAUCUGGAAGCACAAAGAAGUCCCCACAAGAAAUGAACUAUGAAGGUGUGAUGUUCUACAAACACAUUCAGUGCCCUCCACAAGGGAGACAAACUCAGAGAGAAAAAAUGAAAAACAAAAGCAAUGAAAGGUACAGUUUUCACGACUUUAUUAACUGA
RNAcentral lists this long non-coding RNA (574 nucleotides) under Coturnix japonica (Japanese quail). Its description in RNAcentral is "lncRNA (ENSCJPG00005000496.1)". Lineage: Eukaryota; Metazoa; Chordata; Aves; Galliformes; Phasianidae. The record is from RNAcentral.